GCAUUAAUGGGGUAGUGGUAACCUGGGUCGUUGCCAUAGAGCGUCUAGCUCGACCCGCCGGGGGUUCGAUUCCCCCUUAAUGCA
RNAcentral lists this transfer RNA (84 nucleotides) under Agrocybe pediades. RNAcentral's name for it is "tRNA-Gly". It matches the Rfam family "tRNA". Rfam says of the family: Transfer RNA (tRNA) molecules are approximately 80 nucleotides in length. Their secondary structure includes four short double-helical elements and three loops (D, anti-codon, and T loops). Further hydrogen bonds mediate the characteristic L-shaped molecular structure. tRNAs have two regions of fundamental functional importance: the anti-codon, which is responsible for specific mRNA codon recognition, and the 3' end, to which the tRNAs corresponding amino acid is attached (by aminoacyl-tRNA synthetases). tRNAs cope with the degeneracy of the genetic code in two manners: having more than one tRNA (with a specific anti-codon) for a particular amino acid; and 'wobble' base-pairing, i.e. permitting non-standard base-pairing at the 3rd anti-codon position. Lineage: Eukaryota; Fungi; Basidiomycota; Agaricomycetes; Agaricales; Agrocybaceae. The record is from RNAcentral.